RNAcentral lists this ribosomal RNA (622 nucleotides) under uncultured bacterium. Its description in RNAcentral is "bacterial SSU rRNA". It matches the Rfam family "Bacterial small subunit ribosomal RNA", at positions 60 to 684 of the family's 1533-position model. The record is from RNAcentral.
AGUCGAGUGCGCGUCUGUAGCAAUACAGAUGGCGCACGGCGCACGGGUGCGUAACACGUGGGUAAUCUGCCCUUCGAUGGGGAAUAUCUUCGGGAAACCGAAGCGAAUUCCGCAUAACAUUCCUUGAACUUCGGUUUGGGGACUCAAAGCCGUAAGGCGUCGGAGGAGGAACCCGCGCACGAUUAGCUAGUUGGUAGGGUAACGGCCUACCAAGGCUUUGAUCGUUAGCUGGUCUGAGAGGAUGGCCAGCCACACUGGAACUGAGACACGGUCCAGACUCCUACGGGAGGCAGCAGUGGGGAAUCUUGCACAAUGGGCGAAAGCCUGAUGCAGCGACGCCGCGUGGGGGAUGAAGCUUUUCGGAGUGUAAACCCCUUUCGACCCGGACGAAUGCCCCGUAAGGGGACUGACGGUACGGGUAUAAGAAGCCCCGGCUAACUACGUGCCAGCAGCCGCGGUAAGACGUGGGGGGCCAGCGUUGCUCGGAAUUACUGGGUGUAAAGGGUUCGUAGGCGGUGUGGCAAGUCGGGAGUGAAAUCUCUGGGCUUAACCCAGAGUCUGCUUCCGAAACUGCUGUGCUUGAGUGUGGGAGAGGCGCGUGGAAUUGCAGGUGUAGCGGUGA